Molecule: ribosomal RNA, 253 nt
Filed under: uncultured bacterium
Lineage: Bacteria
Description: partial 16S ribosomal RNA
Rfam family: Bacterial small subunit ribosomal RNA
Source: RNAcentral
GACGAACCGUGCGAACGUUGUUCGGAAUCACUGGGCAUAAAGGGCGCGUAGGCGGCUUUUCAAGUCAGGGGUGAAAUCCGGCAGCUCAACUGUCGAAGUGCCCUUGAUACUGAUGAGCUCGAGGGAGGUAGGGGUGUGUGGAACUUCCGGUGGAGCGGUGAAAUGCGUUGAUAUCGGAAGGAACGCCGGUGGCGAAAGCGACGCACUGGGCCUCUUCUGACGCUGAGGCGCGAAAGCUAGGGGAGCAAACGGG